GACGGGGGGGGCAAGUGUUCUUCGGAAUGACUGGGCGUAAAGGGCACGUAGGCGGUGAAUCGGGUUGAAAGUGAAAGUCGCCAAAAAGUGGCGGAAUGCUCUCGAAACCAAUUCACUUGAGUGAGACAGAGGAGAGUGGAAUUUCGUGUGUAGAGGUGAAAUUCGUAGAUAUUCGGAAGAACACCAGUGGCGAAGGCGACCUACUGGACACAUAUUGACGCUGAGGUGCGAAAGCGUGGGGAGCAAACAGG
RNAcentral lists this ribosomal RNA (251 nucleotides) under uncultured bacterium. Its description in RNAcentral is "partial 16S ribosomal RNA". It matches the Rfam family "Bacterial small subunit ribosomal RNA", at positions 524 to 776 of the family's 1533-position model. The record is from RNAcentral.